Molecule: ribosomal RNA, 426 nt
Filed under: uncultured bacterium
Lineage: Bacteria
Description: bacterial SSU rRNA
Rfam family: Bacterial small subunit ribosomal RNA
Source: RNAcentral
UAGGGAAUUUUCGUCAAUGGGGGGAACCCUGAACGAGCAAUGCCGCGUGUGUGAAGAAGGUCUUCGGAUCGUAAAGCACUGUUGUAAGUGAAGAAUGCCAUAUAGAGGAAAUGCUAUGUGGGUGACGGUAGCUUACCAGAAAGCCACGGCUAACUACGUGCCAGCAGCCGCGGUAAUACGUAGGUGGCAAGCGUUAUCCGGAAUCAUUGGGCGUAAAGGGUGCGUAGGUGGCACGAUAAGUCUGAAGUAAAAGGCAACAGCUCAACUGUUGUAUGCUUUGGAAACUGUCGAGCUAGAGUGCAGAAGAGGGCGAUGGAAUUCCAUGUGUAGCGGUAAAAUGCGUAGAUAUAUGGAGGAACACCAGUGGCGAAGGCGGUCGCCUGGUCUGUAACUGACACUGAUGCACGAAAGCGUGGGGAGCAAAUA